Molecule: ribosomal RNA, 266 nt
Filed under: uncultured bacterium
Lineage: Bacteria
Description: partial 16S ribosomal RNA
Rfam family: Bacterial small subunit ribosomal RNA
Source: RNAcentral
GUCCACGCCCUAAACGAUGUCAACUAGGUGUUGGGGAAGGAGACUUUCUUAGUACCGCAGCUAACGCGUGAAGUUGACCGCCUGGGGAGUACGGUCGCAAGAUUAAAACUCAAAGGAAUUGACGGGGACCCCGCACAAGCGGUGGAUGAUGUGGAUUAAUUCGAUGCAACGCGAAAACCUUACCUACCCUUGACAUGCCAGGAAGUCUGGAGAGAUUCAGAGGUGCCCGAAAGGGAACCUGGACACAGGUGCUGCAUGGCUGUCGU